This 253-nucleotide ribosomal RNA is filed under the name uncultured bacterium. RNAcentral's name for it is "partial 16S ribosomal RNA". It matches the Rfam family "Bacterial small subunit ribosomal RNA", at positions 524 to 776 of the family's 1533-position model. The record is from RNAcentral.
UACGAAGGGGGCUAGCGUUGCUCGGAAUCACUGGGCGUAAAGCGCACGUAGGCGGGUCUUUAAGUCCGGGGUGAAAUCCCGGAGCUCAACUCCGGAACUGCCUUUGAUACUGGAGAUCUUGAGUCCGGGAGAGGUGAGUGGAACUCCGAGUGUAGAGGUGAAAUUCGUAGAUAUUCGGAAGAACACCAGUGGCGAAGGCGGCUCACUGGCCCGGUACUGACGCUGAGGUGCGAAAGCGUGGGGAGCAAACAGG